UAGAUCAAUUAGGUGGUCGCAGCCUGCCGCCCCGCUUGAAAAUUUUCAAAGGAAACAAGCGUCAAGAUCGCUGUCAUUAUUAGCAUUUCUUUCUCUCGAGGAAGAGCUUCUUUUUGGGGUCCAUUUCUCACCUAGCCACUACUUUUCUACUACUCCAAACACUUGCUACUUGCUUUCCAUUUAUCUUCUUUUUUUUUUUCAAAAUAAUAUCAUUCAUUCUUUACUCCACUGCAAAGAAACCAGACCCCCAAAGAGAUCAUAUUUCCUUUUUGGAGGAUUCUGAUAGUUUAUCAUCUUAGAUUCCUAUUACCUCAUAUACCCCUUUCCAUGUUCGACUGAUUUAUACUCACCAUUCUGCAGGUAUUGACAUUUUACUCUUCGACACACCUGAAGCUCCAUUAUCUUCUACAGCCCCUCAAGUUUCUUCUGAGAUUAUGGAUCCAUCUCUAUGUCAAUCCACACAUAUUCCAAGCUAUGGAUGAGGAACUUUCUACUUUGUGUAAGACAGAUACUUGAGAUUUGAUUCCUCUACCUCCUGGCAAAAGUGUCGUUGGUUGUCGUUGGGUGUACAAGAUCAAGACUAAUUCUGAUUGGUUUAUUGAGGGAUACAAAGCUAGUUUGGUUGCAAAAGGAUACUCUCAACAGUAUGGUGUUGCUACCCAAUUUUUUACCCAUGUUUUUGAUAAUUUUUCAGAAAAAAACAAAAAUAUUAAAAAAACAACGAAAACCCCAUAAAAUGUAUUUUUGAUAUAUUUGCAUUGUUUUUAGCAUUUUUAAUGUCAUCUCAGAAGAAUUUAAAUUUUCAAAUGUAUUUUGAACGCGUUUAACUUUUAACGUGUUAAUUUAACAAUCACUAAUUUUUCUUGUUGAAAAAAUUUAAAAAUACAAAAAAUUCAAAAUUUACAAGGGACCAAAUAUAAAAAGGAAAAGUUGAGAGACCAAUUUAUUUUUUAGGUUGCUUGGGACCAAACAUUUAAAAAUAACAAAUAAAAAAAGGGCGGAGAAAAUUUUUGAGAUAGGGGGGCGGAGAAAAUUUUGGGGGAAACAAAAUAAAAAAACCCUAAGCUAAACUGAUCUAGACAAAACCGCCACCCCCCGCUUGCUUGCACAUUUGGUCCAUCUUCCUUCUCCUAGCACCGAAUUAGUUCUCCAAGGCAGCUUCACCCAAUUUCCCUCUCCUGGUCAUCAGCACAGGCAGCCACCUCUCCCUUUGCAAAAAAAAAAAAAAAACCAGAGCUCUCUUCCUCGGGGUUCUCUCCCAAAACAAAAAAAAACUCCCCCAUCUUCUUCUCCUCUGGCAGCCAUCACCUUUCUCCCCUCAGCCCCGGCCAGCAGACCCCGCUCACAGCAUCUCCUUCAUUUGUGGCCGCCACCCUGCCAUUGGGAUUUUUGGCUCCCAAAACCAGAAGCCACACAGGGGUCUCUUGUUCCCUGUUGAAUCCAGCCCCCACAGACCCACAAGACAGCCCCGGCUCUCUUCCUCGUCGCCAUUUUCUCCAGCUCUGACCAACCUCUCUCUCAGCCACUGAGAACGCCGCCUAGCAGCCCGCAGGCCCUUGUCCUCACCAAAACCCAAACCGGCCAUCGGCAACUGCACAGACACGACAGAAGCUCAGCCAGACCGGCCUUCACCGAAACCUCCCAGCCUCCACAGACCAGCCACCAAUCCACAAGCCUCACGGACGACUGCAGCAAGCCCAACCGCCGCUGCUACCAAAAGGAGAGAAGACCAUCAACGCCUUGACCACCACCGCAGCUACCUCUACAACCGCCAGAUCGGCUGCCGGGAGGAGGAAAGAACAACAAACCAGAGCAGAAAAACAGACUCGAGAAUAGAUCCGGAAGGGGAAAAGAAAAUUAAAAUCGACCACUUGUUGUGUUUCUUCUCCUGCAGGUAACGGUGGCUGUCACUGCCGGCGAGGAAAGUGAAGAGGGGAGGAAGCCGGUUCAAAUCUCCCCUGGCGCCGCUCAUUUUUUCGGCGGCUUGUGAACCCACGCGCCGCCACCGCUCCUACAGUUCCAGAGGGCCUCUGCAGUUCCUGUACUUUUUAUGGACCUGUUUUUGUAAUUUUUACAUGCUUGAAUAUGUAUUUAAAUUUCUGUUAAAUAUUUCUAGUUUAUGUUAUGUUGUAAACAUUGUAACAAAAAAAACAUAGUAAAAAGUGAUGUGUAAGUGUGUGUUUGCAUUUUUUUUUUUAAUGUAUGUUAUUGAAUUAUAAAAUUAAAAAGACAAAAAUAAAUUUAAUGUUUUAA
Populus trichocarpa (black cottonwood) is the source of this 2253-nucleotide long non-coding RNA. RefSeq lists it as uncharacterized. The transcript is spliced from 2 exons. NCBI's taxonomy places the organism in Eukaryota, Viridiplantae, Streptophyta, Magnoliopsida, Malpighiales, Salicaceae. The record is from RefSeq and is a predicted model, not a curated record.